UGUACAAAAGUUAUGUUUUAAAGCCACAAUGAGAGUAAAUGAAAUGCACGUGUCACUUUGCCAGAUGACAUGUGCCUUAGAAUAUUCACAUCACAAUAGUCUUUCAGCCUGACAACUACAGAAUCCUCAGACCUCAGUAGUUUUCUAGCCACUGUAGUCACCAGUUUGGUGUCUAGAGGCAGGAAUGCAAACGAAAAUUUCACAUUGUUUGAUAAGUUCUUCAUCGCAGGCUCUACUAAAAAGGUGGAGCUCUGCAUCAGGAGAAUUUUUUUUUCUCCAAUAUGGACACGACUAAGGAGGAAGAUGUAGGAGAAGAAAAUCGAACUGUGGUUUGCCAAGGUGCUGCGGUUAUCCGAAGAGGCUGGAAAAGAAAGAAACGAUAUCUGACCUUGUUCAAUGACAUUUUGGUGGUAUCCAGUAAACUAUCCAUUCGUGAAGCCAAGAAACACAACAAAAUGGAACUUCCCAUGCGGAUAUUCACUGAGAACAUUGCAGGCUGUGACACUCCUCUGUAUGUAACAGCAACAAACUUUGAUAUGGUGAAUGACAUAAUCAGCAAGUUACUACCAAUGAUAAGAAAGCAUGUAAUUUACUUUCAAUCGAUUUUGAGUUAAAAUUGAAUUUUGCUUUUGAGAUUCACAUAUGUGGAAAUGUGUAAAUACAGAUGAAAUUUGAUCAUGAUACAUUUACAAAUCAUAUUUUACAAAUGGGUACUUUUUUAUUUUAUUUGUUAGGUAUAAAUUUCUUUCUUUCUUUUUUUUUUAUUAACUUGAAUAUUUGUUAUUUACAUUUCGAGUGUUAUUCCCUUUCCCGGUUUAUGGGCCAACAUCCCCCUAACCCCUCCACCUCCCCUUCUUUAUGGGUGUUCCCCUCCCCAUCCUCCCCCCAUUGCCGCCCUCCCCCUAACAAUCACAUUCACUAGAGGUUCAGUCUUAGCAGGACCCAGGGCUUCCCCUUACACUGGUGAUCUUACUAGGAUAUUGAAUGCUACCUAUGAGGUCAGAGUCCAGGGUCAGUCCAUGUAUAGUCUUUAGGUAGUGGCUUAGGCCCUGGAAGCUCUGGUUGCUUGGCAUUGUUGUUCAUAACGGGUCUCGAGCCCCUUCAAGCUCUUGCAGUUCUUUCUCUGAUUCCUUCAACGGGGGUCCUAUUCUCAGUUCAGUGGUUUGCUGCUGGCAUUCGCCUCUGUAUUUGCUGUAUUCUGGCUGUGUCUCUCAGGAGAGAUCUACAUCUGGCUCCUCUCUGCCUGCAUUUCUUUGCUUCAUCCAUCUUGUCUAAUUGAGUGGCUGAAUAUGUAUGGGCCACAUGUGGGGCAGGCUCUGAAUGGGUGUUUCUUCUGCGUCUGUUCUAAACUUUGCUUCCCUAUUCCCUCCCAAGGGUAUUCUUGUUCCCCUUUUAAAGAAGAAGUGAAACAUUCACAUUUUGAUCAUCUGUCUUGAGUUUCAUGUGUUCUAGGCAUCUAGGGUAACUCAAGCAUUUGGGCUAAUAGCCACUUAUCAAUGAGUGCAUACCAUGUGUGUUUUUCUGUGAUUGGGUUACCUCACUCAGGAUGAUAUUUUCCAGUUCCAACCAUUUGCCUACGAAUUUCAUAAAGUCAUUGUUUUUGAUAGCUGAGUAAUAUUCUAUUGUGUAGAUGUACCACAUUUUCUGUAUCCAUUCCUCUGUUGAAGGGCAUCUGGGUUCUUUCCAGCUUCUGGCUAUUAUAAACAAGACUGCGAUGAACAUAGUGGAGCACGCGUCUUUUUUAUAUGUUGGGGCAUCUUUUGGGUAUAUGCCCAAGAGAGGUAUAGCUGGAUCCUCAGGCAGUUCAAUGUCCAAUUUUCUGAGGAACCUCCAGAUUGAUUUCCAGAAUGGUUGUACCAGUCUGCAAUCCCACCAAUGAUUGGAAGAGUGUUCCUCGUUCUCCACAUCCUUGCCAGCAUUUGCUGUCACCUGAGUUUUUUAUCUUGGCCAUUCUCACUGGUGUGAGGUGAAAUCUCAGGGUUGUUUUGAUUUGCAUUUCCCUUAUGACUAAAGAUGUUGAACAUUUCUUUGGGUGUUUCUCAGCCAUUCGGCAUUCCUCAGCUGUGAAUUCUUUGUUUAGCUCUGAACCCCAUUUUUUAAUAAGGUUAUUUGUCUCCCUGUGGUCUAACUUCUUCAGUUCUUUGUACAUUUUGGGUAUAAGGCCUCUAUCUGUUGUAGGAUUGGUAAAGAUCUUUUCCCAAUCUGUUGGUUGCCAUUUUGUCCUAACCACAGUGUCCUUUGCCUUACAGAACCUUGGCAGUUUUAUGAGAUCCCAUGUGUCGAUUCUUGAUCUUAGAGCAUAAGCCAUUGGUGUUUUGUUCAGGAAAUUUUUUCCAGCGCCUAUGUGUUGGAGAUACUGCCCUAGUUUUUCUUCUAUUAGUCUGAGUGUAUCUGGUUUGAUGUGGAGGUCCUUGAUCCACUUGGACUUAAGCUUUGUACAGGGUGAUAAGCAUGGAUCCAUGUGCAUUCUUCUACAUGUUGACCUCCAGUUGAACCAGCACCAUUUGCUGAAAAUGCUAUCUUUUUUCCAUUGGAUGGUUUUGGCUCCUUUCUCAAAAAUCAAGUGCCAAUAGGUGUGUGGGUUCAUUUCUGGGUCUUCAAUUCUGUUCCAUUGGUCUAUCUGUAGCAAUACCAUGCAGUUUUUAUCACUAUUGCUCUGUAAUACUGCUUGAGUUCAGGGAUAGUGAUUCCCCCUGAAGUCCUUUUAUUGUUGAGGAUAGUUUUAGCUAUCCUGGGUUUUUUGUUAUUCCAGAUGAAUGUGCAAAUUGUUCUGUCUAACUCUUUGAAGAAAUGGAUUGGUAUUUUGAUGGGGAUUGCAUUGAAUCUGUAGAUCGCUUUUGGUAAAAUGGCCAUUUUUACUAUAUUAAUCCUGCCGAUCCAUGAGCAUGGGAGAUCUUUCCAUCUUCUGAGGUCUUCUUCAAUUUCUUUCUUCAGAGUCUUGAAGUUCUUAUUGUACAGAUCUUUUACUUGCUUGGUUAAAGUCACACCAAGGUACUUUAUAUUAUUUGGGUCUAUUAUGAAGUGUGUCGUUUCCGUAAUUUCUUUCUCGGCUUGUUUCUCUUUUGUGUAGAGGAAGGCUACUGAUUCAUUUGAGUUAAUUUUAUACCCGGCCACUUUGCUGAAGUUGUUUAUCAGCUUUUGUAGUUCUCUGGUGGAACUUUGGGAUCACUUAAAUAUACUAUCAUAUCAUCUGCAAAUAGUGAUAUUUUGACCUCUUCUUUUCCGAUCUGUAUCGUCUUGAUCUCCUUUUGUUGUCUGAUUGCUCUGGCUAGAACUUUAAGAGCUAUAUUGAAUAAGUAGGGAGAGAGUGGGCAGCCUUGUCUAGUCCCUGAUUUUAGUGGGAUUGCUUCAAGUUUCUCUCCAUUUAGUUUAAUGUUAGCAACUGGUUUGUUGUAUAUGGCUUUUACUAUGUUUAGAAAUGGGCCCUGAAUUCCUAUUCUUUCCAGGACUUUUAUCAUGACGGGGUGUUGAAUUUUGUCAAAUGCUUUCUCAACAUCUAAUGAAAUGAUCAUGUGGUUUUGUUCUUUAAGUUUGUUUCUACAAUGGAUCAUGUUGAUGGUUUUCCAUAUAUUAAAACCAUCCCUGCAUGCCUGGGAUGAAGCCUACUUGAUCAUGGUGGAUGAUUGUUUUGAUGUGCUCUUGGAUUCGGUUUGCCAGAAUUUUAUUGAGUAUUUUUGCAUUGAUAUUCAUAAGGGAAAUUGGUCUGAAGUUCUCUUUCUUUGUUGGGUCUUUGUGUGGUUUAGGUAUAAGAGUAAUUGUGGCUUCAUAGAAGGAAUUCGGUAGUGCUCCAUCUGUUUCAAUUUUGUGGAAUAGUUUGGAUAGUAUUGGUAUGAGGUCUUCUAUGAAGGUCUGAUAGAAUUCUACACUAAACCCGUCUGGACCUUGGCUCUUGUUGGUUGGGAGACCUUUAAUGACUGCUUCUAUUUCCUUAGGAGUUAUGGGGUUGUUUAACUGGUUUAUCUAUUCCUGAUUUAACUUUGGUACCUGGUAUCUGUCUAGGAAAUUGUCCAUUUCCUGCAGAUUUUCAAGUUUUGUUUAAUAUAGGCUUUUAUAGUAAGAUCUGAUGGUUUUUUGAAUUUCCACUGAAUCUGUAGUUAUGUCUCCCUUUUCAUUUCUGAUUUUGUUAAUUUGGACACACUCUCUGUGUCCUCUCCUGAGUCUGGCUAAGGGUUUAUGUAUCUUGUUGAUUUUCUCAAAGAACCAUCUUUUCAUUCUGUUGAUUCUUUCUAUUGUUCUUUUUGUUUCUACUUGGUUGAUUUCAGCUCUGAGUUUCAUUAUUUCCUGCCUUCUACUCCUCCUGGGUGUAUUUGCUUCUUUUUGUUCUAGAGCUUUUAGGUGUGCUGUCAAGCUGGUGACAUAUGAUCUUUCCUGUUUCUUUCUGCAGGUACUCAGAGCUAUGAGUUUUCCUCUUAGCACAGCUUUCAUUGUGUCCCAUAAGUUUGGGUAUGUUGUACCUUCAUUUUCAUUAAAUUCUAAAAAAGUCUUUAAUUUAUUUCUUUAUUUCUUCCUUGACCAGGUUAUCGUUGAGUAGAGUAUUGUUCAGCUUCCACAUAUACGUGGGCGUUCUUCCCUUAUUGUUAUUGAAGACCAGCUUUAGGCCGUGGUGGUCUGAUAGCACGCAUGGGAUUAUUUCUAUCUUUCUGUACCUGUUGAGGCCCGUUUUUUGACCAAUUAUAUGGUCAAUUUUGCAGAAAGUUCCAUGAGGAGCUGAGAAGAAGGUAUAUCCUUUUGCUUUAGGAUAGACUGUUCUAUAAAUAUCCGUUAAGUCUAUUUGGUUCAUGACUUCUCUUAGUCUGUCUACGUCUCUGUUUAAUUACUGUCUCCAUGAUCUGUCCAUUGAUGAGAGUGGGGUGUUGAAAUCUCCUACUUUAUUGUGUGAGGUGCAAUGUGUGUUUUGAGCUUUAGUAAGGUUUCUUUUACAUAUGUAGGUGCCCUUGUUUUUGGGGUAUAAAUAUUUAGGAUUGGGAGUUCAUCUUGGUGGAUUUUUCCUUUGAUGAAUAUGAAGUGUCCUUCCUUAUCUUUAUUGAUGACUUUUAGUUGAAAAUUGAUUUUAUUUGAUAUUAGAAUGGCUACUCCAGCUUGCUUCUUCCGACCAUUUGCUUGGAAAGUUGUUUUGCAGCCUUUCACUCUGAGGUAGUGUCUGUCUUUGUCUCUGAGGUGUGUUUCCUGUAGGCAGCAGAAUGCAGGGCCCUUGUUGCAUAUACAGUUUGUUAAUCUAUGUCUUUUUAUUGGGGAGUUUAGGCCAUUGAUGUUGAGACAUAAUAAGGAAUCGUGAUUAUUGCUUCCUGUUAUAUUCAUAUUUGGAUAUGAGGUUAUGUUUGUGUGCUUUUCUUCUCUUUGUUUUGUUGCCAAGAUGAUUAGUUUCUUGCUUCUUCUUGGGUAUAACUUGCCUCCUUAUGUUGGACUUUACCGUUUAUUAUCUUUUGAAGUGCUGGAUUUGUAGAAAGAUAUUGUGUAAAUUUGGUUUUGUCAUGGAAUAUCUUGGUUUCUCCAUCUAUGUUAGUUGAGAGUUUUGCAGGAUACAGUAACCUGGGCUGGCUUUUGUGUUCUCUUAGGGUCUUUAUGACAUCUGUCCAGGAUCUUCUGGCUUUCAUAGUCUCUGGCGAAAAGUCUGGUAUGAUUCUGAUAGGUCUGCCUUUAUACGUUACUUGAACUUUUUCCCUUACUGCUUUUAAUAUUCUUUCUUUAUUUUGUGCAUUUGGUGUUUUGACUAUUAUGUGACAGGAGGAGUUUCUUUUCUGGUCCAAUCUAUUUGGAGUUCUGUAGGCUUCUUGUAUGCUUAUGCGUAUCUCUUUCUUUAGGUUAGGGAAGUUUUCUUUUAUGAUUUUUGUUGAAGAUAUUUACUGGUUCUUUGAGCUGGGAGUCUUCAUUCUCUUCUAUACGUAUUAUCCUUAGGUUUGAUCUUCUCAUUGAGUCCUAGAUUUCCUGUAUGUUUUGGACCCGUAGCUUUUUCCUCUUUACAUUAUCUUUGACAGUUGAGUCGAUGAUUUCUAUGGAAUCUUCUGCUCUUGAAAUUCUCUGUUCUAUCUCUUGCAUUCUGUUGGUGAAGCUUGUAUCUAAGGCUCCUUGUCUCUUCUUUUGGUUUUCUAUAUCCAGGGUUGUUUCCAUUGUUCUUUCUUGAUUGCUUCUAUUUGCAUUUUUAAUUCCUUCAACUGUUUGAUUGUGUUUUUCUGGAAUUCUUUCAGGGAUUUUUGUGAUUCCUCUCUGUAGGCUUCUACUUGUUUAUUUAUAUUUUCCUGUCUUUCUCUAAGGGAGUUCUUCACAUCUUUCUUGAAGUCCUCCAGCAUCAUGAUCAAAUAUAUUUCUGAAACUAGAUCUUGCUUUUCUUGUGUGUUUGGAUAUUCCUUGUUUGCUUUGGUGGGAGAAUUGGGCUCCGAUGAUGCCAUGUAGUCUUAGUUUCUGUUGCUUGGAUUCCUGCGUUUGCCUCUCGCCAUCAGAUUAUCUCUAGUGUUACUUUGUUCUUCUAUUUCUGACAGUGGCUAGACUGUCCUAUAAGCCUGUGUGUCAGGGGUGCUGUAGACCUGUUUUCCUGUUUUCUUUCAGCCAGUUAUGGGAACAUAGUGUUCUGCUUUCGGGUGUGAAGUUUUUCCUAUCUACAGGUCUUCAGCUGUUCCUGUGGUCCUGUGUCCUGAGUUCACUAGUCAGGUCGCUUGGAGUAGGAGGGCUUGUCUUACCUAUGGUCCCGAGGUUCAAGUUUGCUCGUGGGGUGUUGCUUAUGAGCUCUCUGUGGGGGUAGCAACCAGGAAGGUCAGUGCACCAGGGUUCCAGAUGGUGUUUGGUGUUUUCCUCUGGAAUCAGUAAUGUGGGCAGAGUGUAGUCUCUUCUGGUUUCCCAGGCAUGUCUGCCUCUCUGAAGGUUUAGCUCUCCCUCCCACGGGAUUUGGGUGCAGAGAACUGUUUAUCUGGUUGGUCCCUUCAGGUUCUGGCGGUGUCUCAGAUGCAGGGGGCCUGCUGCUGCUGUGCCCUUAUCCAAGGGAACCCAGAGGCCAUAUACAGUUUCCUCUUGGGCCAGGGAUGUGGGCAGGUAUGAGCAGUGUUGGUGGUCUCUUCAGCUCUCUAGUCUCAGGAGUGCCCACCUGUCCAGUCGCUGAGGUCUCUCUUCCACUGGGUUUGGGAGCAGCGAGCUGCUGCAGGCAGGGAUCCGGGGGUUUGGGAAUCCCGCUAAAACCAAAUGGCUCCUUUUUGAUCAGAAGUUAUUGAAGACAUAAUAAUAGUCCUUUGAGUGACAGUUUUUCUUGAAUUCAUGUCUAGUUUUAUGUGAAAUGAAAGUCAUAGCCCAAUGGUUUGAGCUGUAUGUGUGGUUUCACUAGAUAAUACAUAUCCACUGUAAUAAAUUGUGAUUAAUUUGUCAUUUGCUCACACCUAAUUUAAAGGAUGCCAAUGUUAGAGGGAAUAUUUUUCUUUUUUUUUUUUUAAUUAGACUAUACUGCCUAUUUGGUAUGUAAUUCUGUAGUCUUUCCCAUUCUUGUUUUUAUUUCUCUUGUGUGGAUGUGUAAGUGUACAUGUUCUAGUGUAUUUAUUUUUAACUUUUAAUAAAUCUUUAAUGAAUGAGUCUACAUUUCUAUGUCUUUUCUGCAUACAUAUCUGUGUAUAUAUUGUCUUUCUAUUUUUAAAUCGCAUGUGUAUCUCUUUGUAACUGUGUGUGUGUGUGUUUCUCUGUGUGUAUGCAUCCCUGUCUAUCACUUUCUGUGAGUUUGUACAAUGAGAAUCCACAAGUCAGUCUGCCUCUCUAACUUUAUGCCCCUCUACCUCUGUCUGCCUCUCUCUCUCACUCUCUUUCUCUUUCUGUUUCAUUAUCACCUCUACAUGUAUGUUUGUGUGUAAAUGGGUAUUUGGUGGUGUGUCUGCUUGAGUGCUUUUUGUCUGCUAGUUUAACACUGAAAAACUCUGUGGGACAAUGACAUUGGUUUUAAAUAGGAGUCUACAAGAAAAUAAAAUUAAUAAUAAUUCCAGUUAGAGCCACUCCUGGAGGGUGGGCAAUAUUUCAACAGAAUGUUCUAUUUAGAUGAUCAUUUCAAAUGGAUCCAUAACACUGUGUGCAGUAAUUAUGUUCUAGAACUUCUUUUCAGAACAUUUUUGUCCUGCAUUUCUUUUAGACAGGAGCAAUUUGGGGUUGAAAGUUUUGUAGGUGUGUUAGUGUCCCUAUCCAUCUACAGGUGUCCUGUCUGAUUUAAAAAGGUGGUCUCUUCAAAUUUUACAUCUGUGUGAUUUUGUGUUUGGGCAAGAUUUCCUACCUGGACUCUUUUUUUUUUUGGUGUUUUUUUUUUAAUUUUUUUUAUUAACUUGAGUAUUUCUUAUUUACAUUUCGAAUGUUAUUCCCUUUCCCGGUUUCCGGGCAAACAUCCCCCUAGUCCCUCCCCCUCCCCUUCUUCAGGGGUGUUCCCCUCCCCACUCUCCCCCCAUUGCCGCCCUCCCCCCAACAAUCACAUUAACUCCUACCUUGACUCUUGGGAGCACCCCUAUCCCACGACUCUGGGAUAUUCUAGAGGUUCCCACCAACCCCGAGAGCUGUAUAUUUCCAUUCAUUCUCUUGGGUUCCUUGUCCUCUCUCAUGUUUCUCCCAUACCUGAUCCUGACCUGUUCUCUUCCCAUCCCACUCUCACACAUAUCUCUCCUUCCCUCUGCCUCCCAUGGUUAUUUAUUUCCCUUUGCUAAGUGGGAUUGAAGCAUCCUUACUUAGGCUUUCCUUAUGGUUUAACUUUUAGUGUCAUGGAUAUUCUGUAUAUUUUGUGUAGUGUCACUGAUUAAUGAAUAUAUACUAUUCAUGUCCUUUGGAGUCUGGGUUAGCUCACUCAGAAUAUUUUCUAGAUCCAUGCAAUUGCCUGCAAAUUUCACAAUGUCGUUUGUUUUUAGUAGCUGAAUAGUAUUCCGUUGUGUAAAUAAACCAUAUUUUCUGUAUCCAUUCUUUGGUUGAAGAACAUCAGGGUUGCUUAUAACAAAUAAGGCUGCUAUUAACAUAGUGGAGCUUGCGUCUUUGUGGUACUGUGGAGCAUCUUUUGGCUAUAUGCCCAGGACCAGUAUAUCAGCGUCUUCAGGUACAACUAUUUCCUGUUUGCUGAGGAACAGCCAGAUUGAUUUCCAGAGUGGUGGUAGUUUGCCAUCCCACCAGCAAUGGAGGAGCAUUCCCGUUUCUCAACAAUCUCACCAGCAAGUUCUGUAGUUCUGUUUCUCUUUUGAGAACAGUUUAAGGAGUUUUGGUAUUAGCUCUUAUUUGAAAGUCUGGUAGAAUUAGGCACUGAAUUAUGCAUCAUGCCCUAGUCUUUUUGUUACUGUUAUUGUUGUUGGUUGUUUUUAAUGAAUUCUUCUAGUUCCUUAGGAGUUAUGGGAUUGAUUAGUUUAUCUGAUCUUGAUUUAACUUUGGUAUGUGGUAUCUGUCUAGAAAAUCAUUCAUUUCAUAUAGAUUUUCAAAGCUUUGUCAAGUUAGUCUUUUGUAGUAAAACCUGAUGAUUUUUUUAAUUUCUUCAAUUUCCAUUAUGUCUCUCUUUUCAUUUCUGAUUUUGUUAAUUUGCAUACUAUUUCUGAGACUUUUAGUUAGUUCAGGUUUAUGUGUCUUGUUGAUUUUCCAAAAGAACAGGAUCUUGGUUUUAUGGAUUCUGUUUCUAAUUGAUUUCAGACUUAAUAUUAUUUCCUGUUGUCUGCUUCUCUUUAGUGUAUUUUCUUAUUUUUGAUCUGGGUUUUUCAUUGUGCUUUUAAGUUGCUAGUAUAGGAUAUCACAAUUAUCUUUGUGAAGACAAUUAGUGCUCAUAUUUUAUUUUAUGUAUACAGUGUGAAAUAUUUAAAUUGCUUAAUAUGAAGCUAGAGGAGUGAAGUAGGAUUCUUUUUUUUUCUUUUCUUUUCUUUUUCUUUUUUUUUUUUUUUUUUUUUUUGGAGCUGGGGACCGAACCCCAGGCCUUGUGCUUGCUAGGCAAGCACUCUACCACUGAGCUAAAUCCCCAACCCCGGUGAAGUAGGAUUCUUAUGAUGUAAAAAUAUUAUUGGUAUUAAUACUCCAACAGGCCUGUCUUAAAAGGGUUAGAGAAGAAUACAGCAAAAGUCCCCCUACACAGUGCAUUCUUAGGUCUAUAUUCUCUAAACAAAGUGAUACACUGAAAAUUUUCUCCUCAUUAUUUUUAUAGUUCUCAGCUUAAUUUAUUAUACUAUCCCUGUAAGGGUUCUUAUGUACUAGUAUGUACAGUCUACAUUAUCCUGAAAAAGGAGAAGGAGGAGGAGGAGGAGGGGAUGCGGAAGGGGAGGGAAGGAGGAGGGGAAGGAGGAGAAAGAGGUGGAGUGGGAGGAGGAGGACAAGGAGAAGAAAUGCAGCAAAGCAUUCU
Non-coding RNA from Rattus norvegicus (Norway rat), 10309 nucleotides. The record is from RefSeq and is a predicted model, not a curated record. NCBI's taxonomy places the organism in Eukaryota, Metazoa, Chordata, Mammalia, Rodentia, Muridae.